UUGCAGUGUAGAAUACAGUGUUGUGUCAUACGGGAUAGUGCACAGAGAGUGGUUUGAUAGCGGGUUUGGAGAAUGACGUUUGAGUGAGUACACAACAUUUUGGCGACGAGGAUGGCGAGUUCGCCUAUCCUUAAGCAUCCACAUCCUCCUUUCCUUCCCACCCUUGGAAGCACUGGUUGUCGGCGUUUGCUACGUUCGUCACAGCAGCGGCGACCAAGUCUCGACUACGUGUCCUCCGAACUCUGUUUGAGGCUGGAAGAUCAGCGCAUUCUGAGAGUUUCUCUCAACGGCGGGAGAGACAGUGUCGUAUGACCAGUUACGCGCCCUGUGUGAGAGGCAGUUCGGACCGAGACUGAAUGCCAUGGUUGCGAGAUUCAAAUUCGGACAACAAUGUCAACACCAGGGUGAGGGACUGCUUGUUACAAGAGGUUGAGGAUCUGAUUCUAGAGAAAGUGACGUUAUCAUCACGGAUCGAGGAUGCCGCUCGUGAUUCAGCAACCAUUGGAGCAGCAUCAGGUAGCCUGAUUGAUACAGUAGGAGAAUGGGAGGUGUUGGCCUGCAUUUGGCUUGUGAGAAGUGGCACAUCUUUUGUUUGGACGCAAGUUCCUGCUACUAUCGAUUAUCAAGCGUUGACAUCACUACUUUCUGUGUCAGGAACAGGUUGAAGGUCAUUUCAUUUACACUGUUAGAUACACAUUCCAAGUGAAAUAUUGACCGGGUCAUUCCAAGAUCAAUUGUUGAGGUCACCAGCACCAAUUGAGAAGUCAGUCCCAGAGGUUGAGGAUUCUGGAGAAUAUGUAUUGUUACUAAAGGAGAACUCCCAUGAUUUUCAAGUUGGGGUCAGAUACAAGUCCCUUCCAUGAACAGAUGAUUCGAAGGGACUUAUGUUUUGUGCACAACAUCACCGCAGCAGAAACAUUGAAAGAAAGGGGCAUGUUGGGUAAGCAAAGUAGUUGACGUAAUUGACUGCAAAGCCACAUGCGCAUGCCAUCGGGUUAGAUACAGUUGUGGACGGAUUCAAAGGCGUACGCAUUGUUCUUUUGUGUCUGGUGUUUGACCUUACAGUUUUGAGCCAGAGUACAGACCUACAGAGCGUGAUGUCAACACAAUUAAAGACAUUUUUGGCAGACAGGUCACCAGUGAAGAUCUGUCUGAUGAGAACGAAAAUCAAGUUGGGAACACUGCUUGGUGCCGCUGCAACAGGUGUUCUGUAAUGCCUAGCGUAGCUGAUUGCUUGUGCUGCCAGGAAGUGGAUGAACUAGGGUGGAAGCUUCAGGAUCUGACCUGUAUUUUUACACAGGCUACUGUGACUAGUUAACUGCGUACAGGCAGUUUACUUGCUCGGUGCACGAGAGGCUGGGCAAGGGUAUCAGACGUGUCAUUCCAGCAUGCGUUGUAGGGCUCAUUCACCAGCAAUUUCCAGAAGAAACUGGGCUUUAUACAGGCUUCAAAGAGCGCGAGGAUGCUCCUCACUGACUGGGAUAAAAUUUAGUAUUUUACGUUUAAUUAAAACUUUUGUUUAGAGUUUUCUACAACUUCUGUCUUAGCUGGUCUCUCACAACGAGCUAUAUUGCUUGCAAUGGAACAUGAUGUAGUUUGUGCUUUAUGUUUCCUCUGGAUAUUUGGCUUUUUCUCUCUAGCUUCAAUGACCUUGGUCAUCAUUUCAUCAAGGUAGCUGUAGUACUCUGGCUCAUGAAUUGGUUUGCAACCCAUUGUUUCUUGGCUUUUGGGAAAACCAGUUGUACCUUUUCUCCUCCCCAGUUGCUGUUGUUGCUUGAUUUCUUCCAGUGUUAUGGUUGUGGUCUAAAGCAGCUAGCUGAGUUCGAGCUACCAUUCCUCUGUAGCUGAAGUACUGUUGUUUGGGACAGUACUUUGUAAGCACUGAAUGGAGCCUGGUGUCCAAGAUAACUGAUUGCAGAG
Molecule: long non-coding RNA, 1920 nt
Organism: Corticium candelabrum
Lineage: Eukaryota; Metazoa; Porifera; Homoscleromorpha; Homosclerophorida; Plakinidae
Exons: 3
Source: RefSeq, a predicted model, not a curated record